CCUACGGGAGGCAGCAGUGGGGAAUCUUCCGCAAUGGGCGAAAGCCUGACGGAGCAACGCCGCGUGAUCGAAUGAAGGCCUUCGGGUUGUAAAGAUCUGUUGACAGAGACGAAUACUCAAUGCGAAUAGUUUUGUGAAUGAAGUUACCUGUUUAGAAAGCUCCGGCUAACUACGGGCAAGCAGCCGCGGUCAUACGUAGGGAGCAAGCGUUGUCCGGAAUGAGUGGUCGUAAAGGGGGCGUAGGUGGGUGCGUAAGUGAGGUGUGAAAACUCCGAGCUCAACGUGGAGACUGCACUUGAGACUGGUUGUCUAGAGGGCAGGAGAGGAAAGUGGAAUGCCUGGUGUAGCGGUGAAAUGCUUAGAGAUUA
This 368-nucleotide ribosomal RNA is filed under the name uncultured bacterium. Its description in RNAcentral is "partial 16S ribosomal RNA". It matches the Rfam family "Bacterial small subunit ribosomal RNA", at positions 338 to 699 of the family's 1533-position model. The record is from RNAcentral.